UACGGAGGGAGCUAGCGUUGUUCGGAAUUACUGGGCGUAAAGCGCACGUAGGCGGCCAUUCAAGUCAGAGGUGGAAGCCCGGGGCUCAACCCCGGAACUGCCUUUGAAACUAGAUGGCUUGAAUCUUGGAGAGGCGAGUGGAAUUCCGAGUGUAGAGGUGAAAUUCGUAGAUAUUCGGAAGAACACCAGUGGCGAAGGCGACUCGCUGGACAAGUAUUGACGCUGAGGUGCGAAAGCGUGGGGAGCAAACAGG
RNAcentral lists this ribosomal RNA (253 nucleotides) under uncultured bacterium. RNAcentral describes it as "partial 16S ribosomal RNA". It matches the Rfam family "Bacterial small subunit ribosomal RNA", at positions 524 to 776 of the family's 1533-position model. The record is from RNAcentral.